This 424-nucleotide ribosomal RNA is filed under the name uncultured prokaryote. Its description in RNAcentral is "bacterial SSU rRNA". It matches the Rfam family "Bacterial small subunit ribosomal RNA", at positions 355 to 796 of the family's 1533-position model. The record is from RNAcentral.
UGGGGAAUCUUAGACAAUGGGGGAAACCCUGAUCUAGCCAUGCCGCGUGAGUGACGAAGGCCUUAGGGUCGUAAAGCUCUUUCGCCAGGGAUGAUAAUGACAGUACCUGGUAAAGAAACCCCGGCUAACUCCGUGCCAGCAGCCGCGGUAAUACGGAGGGGGUUAGCGUUGUUCGGAAUUACUGGGCGUAAAGCGCACGUAGGCGGACUAUUAAGUCAGGGGUGAAAUCCCGGGGCUCAACCCCGGAACUGCCUUUGAUACUGGUGGUCUUGAGUUCGAGAGAGGUGAGUGGAAUUCCGAGUGUAGAGGUGAAAUUCGUAGAUAUUCGGAGGAACACCAGUGGCGAAGGCGGCUCACUGGCUCGAUACUGACGCUGAGGUGCGAAAGCGUGGGGAGCAAACAGGAUUAGAUACCCCCGUAGUCC